This 301-nucleotide ribosomal RNA is filed under the name uncultured bacterium. RNAcentral's name for it is "partial 16S ribosomal RNA". It matches the Rfam family "Bacterial small subunit ribosomal RNA", at positions 510 to 808 of the family's 1533-position model. The record is from RNAcentral.
AGUCGCCGCGGUAAUACGUAGGUGGCGAGCGUUGUCCGGAUUUAUUGGGCGUAAAGGGAGUGUAGGCGGUCUUUUAAGCCUGAUGUGAAAGCCCACGGCUCAACCGUGGAGGGUCAUUGGAAACUGGGAGACUUGAGUGCAGAAGAGGAGAGCGGAAUUCCAUGUGUAGCGGUGAAAUGCGUAGAUAUAUGGAGGAACACCAGUGGCGAAGGCGGCUCUCUGGUCUGUAACUGACGCUGGGGCUCGAAAGCGUGGGGAGCAAACAGGAUUAGAUACCCCAGUAGUCCCUGUCUCUUAUACA